This 98-nucleotide transfer RNA is filed under the name Eunotia naegelii. Its description in RNAcentral is "tRNA-Ser". It matches the Rfam family "tRNA". Rfam says of the family: Transfer RNA (tRNA) molecules are approximately 80 nucleotides in length. Their secondary structure includes four short double-helical elements and three loops (D, anti-codon, and T loops). Lineage: Eukaryota; Bacillariophyta; Bacillariophyceae; Eunotiales; Eunotiaceae. The record is from RNAcentral.
AGAAGAAUGGCUGAGCGGCUGAAAGCGAAGAUUUGCUAAAUCUUUAUACGGCGACAAAUUUGAUAACUGUAUCGUGGGUUCAAAUCCCACUUCUUCUG